RNAcentral lists this ribosomal RNA (823 nucleotides) under Salmonella enterica subsp. enterica serovar Legon. RNAcentral's name for it is "bacterial LSU rRNA". It matches the Rfam family "Bacterial large subunit ribosomal RNA", at positions 390 to 1212 of the family's 2925-position model. Lineage: Bacteria; Pseudomonadati; Pseudomonadota; Gammaproteobacteria; Enterobacterales; Enterobacteriaceae. The record is from RNAcentral.
GCAUGUGCUGUGAGCUCGAUGAGUAGGGCGGGACACGUGGUAUCCUGUCUGAAUAUGGGGGGACCAUCCUCCAAGGCUAAAUACUCCUGACUGACCGAUAGUGAACCAGUACCGUGAGGGAAAGGCGAAAAGAACCCCGGCGAGGGGAGUGAAAAAGAACCUGAAACCGUGUACGUACAAGCAGUGGGAGCACAGGUUUACCUGUGUGACUGCGUACCUUUUGUAUAAUGGGUCAGCGACUUAUAUUCUGUAGCAAGGUUAACCGAAUAGGGGAGCCGCAGGGAAACCGAGUCUUAACCGGGCGUUAAGUUGCAGGGUAUAGACCCGAAACCCGGUGAUCUAGCCAUGGGCAGGUUGAAGGUUGGGUAACACUAACUGGAGGACCGAACCGACUAAUGUUGAAAAAUUAGCGGAUGACCUGUGGCUGGGGGUGAAAGGCCAAUCAAACCGGGAGAUAGCUGGUUCUCCCCGAAAGCUAUUUAGGUAGCGCCUCGUGAACUCAUCUCCGGGGGUAGAGCACUGUUUCGGCUAGGGGGUCAUCCCGACUUACCAACCCGAUGCAAACUGCGAAUACCGGAGAAUGUUAUCACGGGAGACACACGGCGGGUGCUAACGUCCGUCGUGAAGAGGGAAACAACCCAGACCGCCAGCUAAGGUCCCAAAGUCAUGGUUAAGUGGGAAACGAUGUGGGAAGGCCCAGACAGCCAGGAUGUUGGCUUAGAAGCAGCCAUCAUUUAAAGAAAGCGUAAUAGCUCACUGGUCGAGUCGGCCUGCGCGGAAGAUGUAACGGGGCUAAACCAUGCACCGAAGCUGCGGCAGCGAC